GGUUCUCAAGAAUUAAAUUCGUUUUGUUUUGAACACAAAAAGAGGGAUAAAUACAAUCCCGGGAACCUU
This 69-nucleotide transfer RNA is filed under the name Planocera multitentaculata. Its description in RNAcentral is "tRNA-serine". The record is from RNAcentral. Lineage: Eukaryota; Metazoa; Platyhelminthes; Polycladida; Planoceridae.